CCAGACUUGACAUGCAGUAGACAGUUCUAGAAAUAGAAUCUUCCUUCGGGACUGCUGCACAGGUGCUGCAUGGCUGUCGUCAGCUCGUGCCGUGAGGUGUUGGGUUAAGUCCCGCAACGAGCGCAACCCUUAUCAUUAGUUGCCAACAUUUAAGGUGGGAACUCUAAUGAGACUGCCUGGGUUAACCAGGAGGAAGGUGAGGAUGACGUCAAGUCCGCAUGGCCCUUAUGUCUGGGGCUACACACGUGCUACAAUGGUCGGUACAGAAGGCAGCGAAGCCGCGAGGUGAAGCAAAUCCAAAAAGCCGAUCCCAGUUCAGAUUGUAGUCUGCAACUCGACUACAUGAAGAUGGAAUUGCUAGUAAUGGCGAGUCAGCAACAUCGCCGUGAAUACGUUCCC
RNAcentral lists this ribosomal RNA (399 nucleotides) under uncultured bacterium. RNAcentral's name for it is "bacterial SSU rRNA". It matches the Rfam family "Bacterial small subunit ribosomal RNA", at positions 975 to 1375 of the family's 1533-position model. The record is from RNAcentral.